UGAGGUAGAGGUCGCGUUUGUUAUCAGUACCCCCGCCAAGGCCGGAAGCCAAUGACACGGGGUGAAAGGAACCGACGCCGAAAUCGCGGGUCGAAUCCGCGGUUGGGCUCAUGCCGAACAGGUAUGAGACUGUCUUUGAAGGAUUUACCACCCUUCAAAGGAGAGCUAUC
RNAcentral lists this non-coding RNA (170 nucleotides) under human gut metagenome. RNAcentral's name for it is "Lysine riboswitch". It matches the Rfam family "Lysine riboswitch aptamer". From Rfam's summary of the family: Riboswitches are metabolite binding domains within certain messenger RNAs that serve as precision sensors for their corresponding targets. Allosteric rearrangement of mRNA structure is mediated by ligand binding, and this results in modulation of gene expression. The record is from RNAcentral.